UUGGAACUUGAAAAGCACCUCUGGAGAUCAUCCAGUCCAGCUGCCUUGCUAAACUAGAGUCACCUAGAGCAGGUUGCCCAGGAUUGCAACAUCCAGGUAGUUUUGGAAUCUCUUCAGAGAAGGAGACUCUACAACCUCUCUGGGCAGCUUGCCCAUCUGCUAUCCCAUCUGAGCUAUCCCAUCUGUCCUGGAAUAAUAUAGCUGGAGCCUUCCACUUCCUGAAAAGCUGUUUGACAUCACAUGCUGUCAAAUCAGAGUCUGUGGUCAGCCUUUGCAAGACAUCGUGGGUCUUAGUCUGUCCUGGUACGCAGGUCCUCACAACAUCUUUGGGUUGGGGCACUGCCCCAGGAAGCAGAGCUGCAGCCUUUGGAUCUUCAUCUACUGGUAUCAUGGACUACAGUCAUGCACUUCUAGUUCCUCAGGGUGUGGAGACUCUUUAAGGCUAACAACCUGCCCAAGGCGUGAGGAGAACUGAAAAUAAGAGAGAACCAAUGAAACCAGAUGGCUAUUUUUUGUGUGGUUAGGGAAGAGGUGGAAGGUGCUUGUUCUGCCUGUGGAGCUGCUCAGAGGUAUACCUACAGAUCUUCUGACUCAGAACUGUUGAAUCCAAACAUCUGUGACACUUUCAGAGAGCUAUUUAUUCAUAAGAUAAACCAAAGUAGUUAAACUAUCCAAACCAGUGGCAAUCCACAGCAAUGCUUUGUGCUCUGGACUCGUACUGAGUGGUGCUGCCGCCUUUCAGCUGGGCAGGGCUGGACCUCAUUCUGUGAGCUGGGACCAUGACCCUGCUGUUCUCACUUCUGGCUUCUUGAAAGUGCAGCCAGCCUGCCAGUGAUGUGUGAUGCCACAGUCCUGCAGAUAGCACCCUCACUGCUGAGCAGCAGAGAAGUCAACCCAGCUGUAUGUGUUUGGAGAAGAUCUUUAAGGCUCAUGAGGCUCUCAGCUGCUCCUUUUUCUCCCUUAUGCUUAAUGCUUCUCCUCGCCAGUCCCAACAGCUCCAUGCUGUGAAGUGCUUCAGCAAUGCUUUGUUAGCACUUGGCCAGGCAAUGCCAUGCCACUUUCUCCUUUGCACGUGUAAGGCCUUGCAUACCCUCACACCCUGACCAGCUGUGCCUUGCUCCAGCACUUUGAAGAGGAGACCAAGCAGAAGUACCCCUGGCUGCAGAGAAGAGAAGGAACCCAGCUUCUGUUCUUGAAGGCUGCUGUGAACCAAUCUGUUCAAAAUGCACCAGUUGGACCUGUGACACUUGGGUAAAUCCAUCUGCAGAAUGCCUUAAAUUCUCCCUGCUACACCAUGAGCCAGAUCAAGUGUCUGCAGAUCAUUUUAUGCCUCAGGCUACAGGCAGUGAAAGUUUCUUAUAGUUUUAUUGUUUCUUCAUAAUUGUGUCAUAACUUUUAAAUGCUCUUUCAUGUUAACUAUAGCAAUAGUCCAUAAACAAUA
Long non-coding RNA from Pogoniulus pusillus (Red-fronted tinkerbird), 1441 nucleotides. RefSeq lists it as uncharacterized. The transcript is spliced from 2 exons. NCBI's taxonomy places the organism in Eukaryota, Metazoa, Chordata, Aves, Piciformes, Lybiidae. The record is from RefSeq and is a predicted model, not a curated record.